GGUGACUUCUUGGAUAUUUGACAGUGUCCUGCUAUCCAGCAUCUCUCCUCCUCUAUCCCAUUGGCUCUUUGUCUAUCCUAUACCUUGUAUCCACUCUGUCUACAAUUUGAUAACUCUAGCUUUCCUGUCAAAUCUACCGCUCUGUCUGCUUUUGGAAACUCUAUCUUUGUAUCCCUCUUCUAUCCCACUCUAUCUGUAUACAGAAGCCUGAAAACCCUGAUAUUCUGAAACCUGAACCCUGAAACCUGAACCUAAGGUUAUUGCAACCUGUCUGAACAGAACUCUGAGAGUAUCUCCACUCUCCCGCUCUCUGUCUCUCCUCUGAACACUCACUCACCCGGGUUAUUGGUACCUGAUCUACCUUUUUGAAUGAUCUGAGAGAUUCUCUUCUCUCACUCUCACCUCUCUCCUAUCAACUCCUAUAUUUAUACAAUACUAUUACUGUUUUUACUAAUUUGACAAAACAUUUGAAAUUACUAUUAAUGAGAUUAACAAAAUUGGCCUGAACAAAGAAUUGAAAAGUUAAUUCAGAAGCUGAAAAAAACGUAAAGUACAAAUCUUUUUGUUAUAAUUGAAAAAACUACACCUUGAUCCAAAGAAUUGGAUUGUAAAAAAAAGUACUCUUUAUAAUUGAAUCAGGUAGAUUUCCUAUUUGCAAAAGUGCAUUGAAUUAACAUAAUUAAAGACAACUGCACUCUGAUAUAUAAUAAAAUACAUAACUAUUACAAAUCCAUAUUAGAGAAGUGUAUUUGCUCCUGAUCGCUGUUGCUGUGCACCU
Long non-coding RNA from Gasterosteus aculeatus aculeatus (three-spined stickleback), 778 nucleotides. The record is from Ensembl. Lineage: Eukaryota; Metazoa; Chordata; Actinopteri; Perciformes; Gasterosteidae.